CAGAGGUGACGGCUGCGGGGCGUCAUGUCGUACUCCAACCAGAGGGCAGCCAAUUGUGCUCGGUGUUGACCCCAAGGGCAAGAAACUACUGUAUGUCCAUGGAAAUUCUGUCAUUAUCCGAGAUAUUGAGAACCCCUCCAUCUCAGAGGUCUACACGGAGCACUCCAUACAGGUGAAUGUGGCUCAGUAUGCUCCGUCAGGCUUCUACAUUUGCUCUGGUGACCAACAUGGCAAAGUGCGAUAUGGGACACCAUCAAUCCAGAGCAUAUU
This is a long non-coding RNA of Eriocheir sinensis (Chinese mitten crab), 270 nucleotides long. RefSeq lists it as uncharacterized. The record is from RefSeq and is a predicted model, not a curated record. The transcript is spliced from 4 exons. NCBI's taxonomy places the organism in Eukaryota, Metazoa, Arthropoda, Malacostraca, Decapoda, Varunidae.